This 831-nucleotide ribosomal RNA is filed under the name uncultured bacterium. RNAcentral's name for it is "bacterial SSU rRNA". It matches the Rfam family "Bacterial small subunit ribosomal RNA", at positions 28 to 853 of the family's 1533-position model. The record is from RNAcentral.
AUUGAACGCUGGCGGAAUGCUUUACACAUGCAAGUCGAACGGCAGCACGGACUUCGGUCUGGUGGCGAGUGGCGAACGGGUGAGUAACAUAUCGGAACGUAUCCAAUAAUGGGGGAUAACUAAUCGAAAGGUUGGCUAAUACCGCAUACGCCCUACGGGGGAAAGCUAGGGAUCUUCGGACCUGGCGUUAAUGGAGCGGCCGAUAUCUGAUUAGCUAGUUGGUGGGGUAAAGGCCCACCAAGGCGACGAUCAGUAGCUGGUCUGAGAGGACGACCAGCCACACUGGAACUGAGACACGGUCCAGACUCCUACGGGAGGCAGCAGUGGGGAAUUUUGGACAAUGGGCGCAAGCCUGAUCCAGCCAUUCCGCGUGAGUGAAGAAGGCCUUCGGGUUGUAAAGCUCUUUCGCAAGGGAAGAAAACUUAUCCUCUAACAUAGGAUGAGGUUGACGGUACCUUGAUAAGAAGCACCGGCUAACUACGUGCCAGCAGCCGCGGUAAUACGUAGGGUGCGAGCGUUAAUCGGAAUUACUGGGCGUAAAGCGUGCGCAGGCUGUUUUGUAAGUCAGAUGUGAAAUCCCUGAGCUCAACUUAGGAACUGCGUUUGAAACUACAAGACUAGAAUAUGUCAGAGGGGGGUAGAAUUCCACGUGUAGCAGUGAAAUGCGUAGAGAUGUGGAGGAAUACCAAUGGCGAAGGCAGCCCCCUGGGAUAAUAUUGACGCUCAUGCACGAAAGCGUGGGGAGCAAACAGGAUUAGAUACCCUGGUAGUCCACGCCCUAAACGAUGUCUACUAGUUGUUGGUGGAGUAAAAUCCAUGAGUAACGCAGCU